RNAcentral lists this ribosomal RNA (520 nucleotides) under uncultured Glomus. RNAcentral's name for it is "SSU rRNA". It matches the Rfam family "Eukaryotic small subunit ribosomal RNA", at positions 569 to 1091 of the family's 1831-position model. The record is from RNAcentral. Lineage: Eukaryota; Fungi; Glomeromycota; Glomeromycetes; Glomerales; Glomeraceae.
AGCAGCCGCGGUAAUUCCAGCUCCAAUAGCGUAUAUUAAAGUUGUUGCAGUUAAAAAGCUCGUAGUUGAAUUUCGGGGUCAGCAGGUUGGUCGUGCCACUGGUAUGUACUGGCUUCGCUGAUUCCUCCCUCUUGUAGAACCGUAAUGCCAUUAAGUUGGUGUUGCGGGGAAACAGGACUGUUACUUUGAAAAAAUUAGAGUGUUUAAAGCAGGCUAACGCUUGAAUACAUUAGCAUGGAAUAAUGAAAUAGGACGAUCGAUCCUAUUUUGUUGGUUUCUAGGAUUGACGUAAUGAUUAAUAGGGAUAGUUGGGGGCAUUAGUAUUCAAUUGUCAGAGGUGAAAUUCUUGGAUUUAUUGAAGACUGACUACUGCGAAAGCAUUUGCCAAGGAUGUUUUCAUUAAUCAAGAACGAAAGUUAGGGGAUCGAAGACGAUCAGAUACCGUCGUAGUCUUAACCAUAAACUAUGCCGACUAGGGAUCGGAUGAUGUUAAUUUUUAAUGACUCAUUCGGCGCCUUAC